UCCGCUCCGGGAAGGACCGGAGCGCCUGUGCGCGCGUUCCCACACGCGAUGGGGAGGGGGCAGCGCCGCGCGGGCCGGUGCUGCUGCCGUCACUAUUCCCACCGGGAAACCGGCAGCCCUGCCUCGGGCACGCCGGUGGCUGGAGCGGGGACGCGGCCGGGGCGGGGUACGACAGCGGGCAGCCCCUCGCUGUUACGCGUUGAGGGAGCUGAGGAAUGAAGCGGUUCCUCCGAGACCUGGAGGGCUGUCCAAGGACGCCUUGGGCUGUGUCCUAAGGAAAUCGUCCUACGGAGAGCCCCGGGUGAGAGCUCCGGAAAGCGUUUAGGAGAUCAGACAUGGUUACUUAAUGCUCUUGCCAGCAGCUCGGAAGAGAUGCGUCUGGCCCCGAGUCUGCCAGGACAUGGAAGGGCCUUGCCGGGAGCCCUGCAGAGCAGCCUCGGGCAGAGCUUAACCCCUACAGGAUUUAGACUCGGGCUGAGGACUAGCGUGGAGCUGCCCGGCUGUUUGCUCUGCCCGCGGCUCUGUUUAAAAACCGUACUAGGUUUUCGCGCAGACGUGCUUUCUGACAGGGUUUGGAGAUGUACUUCGUUCCAAGAGCAGGUGAACUAAAUACUGUGUUUAGUUUGGGGGUGGGCGUUACCAACCGAGUACAGUUUGAGUGACCAGGCGUCACCCAGACAAGGCCAAAGUGUCUGUAUUUGUGUGCUGUUAAACACCUGUAUGAAUCCUGAUGAGGGAGCAGGGAGUGGUUCCCGAGCUGCAGGAGUGUUAAUUGGCAAAAAGGAAACAGCCAGUCAUGUUUAAUCACGCAUGGAAGAGUGUGACCUUUGAUUUCUCCAGUGUAAUUUAGAGGGAAAGGCUGAGGUUUUUCUUUGAACCGAGCAGCAGGGGAAAAAUAAAAUGAAGGGUUAUCAAGUUCAAAUAUAUUCAUUUGAGAGAAUGGUCUCAUCCUUUUCUCUCUGAUUUGCUGCUAUUGCUAGUUAUUUUUAAGUGCAAGAUGGGUGUUUGACUUUCUUCCUUUUCUUCCUGUCUGUGGCCACUCCCAUAUCUCGACUGACACUGAAGCAGGUUGGGACCAUGAGGGAGACUGGUGUUACUAGGAAGGACCUUGGGAUCAAAGCAGCAAACACCCCUGCUUAGCACCUGAGUGCUUGUGCAAAUGGACUGGCUUCACUGUAGGUGCAGUGAGGAGCACUGGUGGGGAAGAGGCACAGGUUGCUUCUCUCUUCUCUGGGAAGUCAAGAGCAGAAUCCUUCAGAGCAGGACCUGCUAAGAGCCUGAAAGUAUCCUUUUGAGACUGUUUUCCUAAAGGAAGAAAGCAUACGCUCUUACGGGUUUUACAUGUGUUAAAUUUGUUCUCAUACUUCUGAUCAGUAACUUUGAAACCUGUUGGCCUGUUUUAGUUAGAUUUGAUAAACUCCACAGCAAACUUCCUGCAGGUAGUAGAUAGCUAGUUACAGGAAAGGGACCCUAUAAAUAUCCUGAUUCAGGAAAAAGAUGCACUGUGCAUGUAUUAAACUCUGGGAACAUCACAUAAGGAAAAAUGUCAUAUGAGUACUCAUCUAGAUGAAAAUUUUCAGUAAGAACUCAAUUUUUCAGGAACAGAGAUUCAUAGGGGACCAUAGUUCAUUCAUUCUGCACCUCACAAAACUGCUACUUUUAUUUCAUUAUGAUGUAGAUGGGAGGAAAAAUUUAUUUAAUUGAUUUAAAUUUAAUUUAGGAAAUACUGUAAAAUAGUUGAUCUAGUGCAUCUAGCAGAUUUAGGAACUAGGAUUCAGAAGUCAGUGUGCUGUUGGGUCCCUGAUAGUAAGAGAAAUUAGCCCUAGCAAAGAGACAGUGGUGCAGCACCUGAAAUCAGACAAGGUUCUGAACAGAGCUAAAAUAAAAAAGAUGGGGAUCCAGGGCACUUUAUCUAUGGGGAAUGUUGUGGUUCCUGGGGUCCUUCCAUGCAGCUCAGAGUAGACUAAGGGGAGAUGGUCUAACUGUAGACUUCAAUUAUUUGUAGGAGAGUUACAGAGAGUGGAAGGAAACCGCUGGUAGUAAUCGAUGGUAAGAAAAAGGCAGAGAGGAUGGAUGGAAAUUGUAUUCUGGGAAACUCAGGUGAAAUUUCUUCGUAAGGUGAGUAUGACAGCACUGGGCACAAGUUAUUGAAAGAAAUGGUAAAGACUCCAUCACAGAAGGUUUCUAAGUGUCAUGUAGACAACAGCACUAAUUCCCAGGGGGAGGUGGACUAGACACCUCCAGAGGUCUUCAGCCAUCAUUUCUGUGGUCCUUUACCUUCUAUCCAGAUGAGGAUGCAAGAAAACAGCUUGUAUGAGCAAAGCUGUCACUUAAAAGAGUAGCAACUUUUAUCUCAUCUCAACUUUACCAGAGGACAUAUGAACAUAUUCUUAGUCAUUGUUCAAUUCCUUGUACAGAAAAAUGGUUUUAUUAAGGCGAUUAUUAUUUGCUGAGUAUAAAUAAUGAAACUUAUUUUGUACUGUGCUGAACUUGGGUCAGACACAUGCCUCCUACAGAUCUGCAGCACUAUGCUAUAGAUUAUUUUCAACAAACUUUGGUUGUUAGAAUUUACAGAGGCAUCAGCAGACAAUGGAUAACUGUCACUGGUUUUCUCUAAGUCUCUUGCAUAAAGAUUACAGUAAUUUCA
Long non-coding RNA from Catharus ustulatus (Swainson's thrush), 2647 nucleotides. RefSeq lists it as uncharacterized. The record is from RefSeq and is a predicted model, not a curated record. NCBI's taxonomy places the organism in Eukaryota, Metazoa, Chordata, Aves, Passeriformes, Turdidae. The transcript is spliced from 3 exons.